CGCGUAGGCGGAUAAGUAGGUGUGAUGUGAAAGCCCUGGGCUUAACCUAGGAAGUGCAUCGCAAACGGCUUAUCUAGAGUAUAAGAGAGGGUGGUGGAAUUUCCGGUGUAGCGGUGAAAUGCGUAGAGAUCGGAAGGAACGUCGAUGGCGAAGGCAGCCACCUAGAUUAAUACUGACGCUGAGGCGCGAGAGCGUGGGUAGCGAACA
Molecule: ribosomal RNA, 207 nt
Filed under: uncultured bacterium
Lineage: Bacteria
Description: partial 16S ribosomal RNA
Rfam family: Bacterial small subunit ribosomal RNA
Source: RNAcentral